Girardinichthys multiradiatus is the source of this 815-nucleotide long non-coding RNA. RefSeq lists it as uncharacterized. The transcript has 3 exons. The record is from RefSeq and is a predicted model, not a curated record. NCBI's taxonomy places the organism in Eukaryota, Metazoa, Chordata, Actinopteri, Cyprinodontiformes, Goodeidae.
UGUUCAUAGUUUAUUGUUGCUGAUUCUGUUCCUUCAAGGAGUGCGGGAGUUUGGUGGUGUGGUGACUCCGUACAAUGAUCAGGGUCGAGCAGAUGUCCACCAGGGCUGUUCCAGCUGCCUGCUCAUUGUCUACCAUGGAGUGUGUGGGGUGCACCGGAGAGGAUGCUGCUCAUUUACAGAAGUGAGGGGAAACACCUGGACUCUGAGGAACUGAAAGCUGCUGAAAGCGAACACAGGAGGAUAGCCGAGUGUCUGAAGUUCAAUGUUGGAAUAAGCUUCCGCUAUGACGGGAAGGCAGAUUGUUACCUGGAAAAGAAGAAAGAAACAGAAGAAGCCUAGAAAUAUUUAAUUUGAUGACUACAUGAUUAAAGUCAUUUCCUUCAAUCUCAAUUUGUCACUUAAAGAAGUAAAAUCACAUAUACUUACUAAGACAGUAGUCUGGCAAAAGUAUUUAAACAUAAAUUAUUAUGACAAAACAAGAAAGUGUUUUAAAAUUCAGUAUGCAGUAUUAAUGUAAAUCAAAAUUAACCUAAAUGUUUUAUAGCUGAGUCGCAAUUAAGAGAAAAUAAGUCAAAUUUCUGGGUUUAUGAAUCAGAACAUGUUUUUUCUUUCAGUUAAUGAAUAUGAUUUAAUUACUGAAUAUAGCUUGAUCCUAUGUAUUAAUAUGCUAUCAUUUGGAAUUUUGUUUUGCUGAGCAACAUGAUGGUAAUAAUAGGCAAGGCAAGUUUAUUGUUAAUGUUUUACUUUUCUUUCCGAUAGAAAGGACUCCUGGAUCAGUGCUUCUUUGUUCUUUUUGUGUCUCUGCUCUGUUCUCU